This 459-nucleotide ribosomal RNA is filed under the name uncultured bacterium. RNAcentral describes it as "partial 16S ribosomal RNA". It matches the Rfam family "Bacterial small subunit ribosomal RNA", at positions 338 to 795 of the family's 1533-position model. The record is from RNAcentral.
CCUACGGGAGGCAGCAGUGAGGAAUAUUGGUCAAUGGCCGGGAGGCUGAACCAGCCAAGUCGCGUGAGGGAAGACGGCCCUACGGGUUGUAAACCUCUUUUGUCAGGGAGCAAGGUGCAGGUCGGGACCUGCUGUGAGAGUACCUGAAGAAAAAGCAUCGGCUAACUCCGUGCCAGCAGCCGCGGUAAUACGGAGGAUGCGAGCGUUAUCCGGAUUUAUGGGGUGUAAAGGGUGCGCAGGCGGAGGCACAAGUCAGCGGUAAAAUCGCGGGGCUCAACCCCGCUCCGCCGUUGAAACUGUGUGCCUUGAGUGCGCGAAGGGUAGGCGGAAUGCGUGGUGUAGCGGUGAAAUGCAUAGAUAUCACGCAGAACCCCGAUUGCGAAGGCAGCAUACCGGCGCCCUACUGACGCUGAGGCACGAAAGUGCGGGUAUCGAACAGGAUUAGAUACCCGUGUAGUC